CAAUAGCGUAUAUUUAAGUUGUUGCAGUUAAAAAGCUCGUAGUUGGAUUUCGGGUGGGCCGCAGCGGUCUCGCAUUGCGUUUGUACUGCUGCAGCCCUCCUUCUUGCCGGGGGCGGCCUCUCGGACUUCACUGUCUGGGGGUCAGAAUCGGCGAUGUUACUUUGAGUAAAUUAGAGUGUUCAAAGCAAGCUUACGCUCUGAAUAUAAUAGCAUGGGAUAACACGACAGGACUCUGGCCUAUCGUGUUGGUCUAUAGGACCAGAGUAAUGAUUAAGAGGGACAGUCGGGGGCAUUCGUAUUCCGUUGUCAGAGGUGAAAUUCUUGGAUUUACGGAAGACGAACAUCUGCGAAAGCAUUUGCCAAGGAUGUUUUCAUUGA
Molecule: ribosomal RNA, 378 nt
Filed under: uncultured eukaryote
Lineage: Eukaryota
Description: partial 18S ribosomal RNA
Rfam family: Eukaryotic small subunit ribosomal RNA
Source: RNAcentral